Molecule: long non-coding RNA, 850 nt
Organism: Nicotiana attenuata
Lineage: Eukaryota; Viridiplantae; Streptophyta; Magnoliopsida; Solanales; Solanaceae
Exons: 3
Source: RefSeq, a predicted model, not a curated record
UCGAAAUUUGGGUUACUGUUUCGGCCACGGCCUCCUCCGAUCAAUGGACCCAAUGGUCCCCCAGAUCCACCGCCUUUAAUCCCCACCCAGAUUCCGAAAACAUCUCUUAUCCCAAAUCACAAAUCCUUUACUCCCCAACCCACAAACAUUAGUGAAAUUUCUUUUUAUAAUCAAAAUUCCCCAAACCCCUCGCCCCCUUUUUCCUUUUCAAAUCAAAACCCGCAAAUCACUUUGAACACAAAAAAUCAUGAAAGUACUACUGCUAAUAAAACUGCUAUCUCUCAAAGUAAAAUUAAUGGCGACAAUUCUUACAUAUGUGCCAUAGGAAUCAAAACCCCAAAACCAAGGAGCAGAAUCCGACUCCCUCCCAGAUCUUACGAGCUGAUUAACGGCAAACCAGUGGUAAAUUUUACUGAGGAGGAAAAUGAUAUCUUGGCGCAGUCAUGCAAAUGAACUAUAGUUGUUGAUAUUUGACGACGCGAUUAUUGGAAGCAACUUGGAGUUGUUCGGCAAUAGUACUAAGAAGGGUAAAAACAUAUUGUGCUAUAAAGAAAAUGGCUUGGAGAAUCAACUUGGCCAGAUCGCCAUUAUCUAACGUCGGGAUCAUUAAACCUGGUGCACCUUAUAUGAUAGACCGGUAUAUAUCACACUUAUACCCUCUAGAAGGGAACCUAGUUGACGGGGUUGUCAGACGGCCAUGAUAGACCCAUGGUGUCAGAAAGUUUAUCGACUCUGGCUGAAGUAUCUCUCAUUUUAACGAAAUUAUAGAAAAAUAUAGAAUUAUGAGCAUGUUUUCACUCCCUUGAUUUAUCAUUUCAUAUAUGAAUUAUUAUGUUGGGUUAAUGAACUA